This 371-nucleotide ribosomal RNA is filed under the name uncultured organism. RNAcentral's name for it is "bacterial SSU rRNA". It matches the Rfam family "Bacterial small subunit ribosomal RNA", at positions 526 to 896 of the family's 1533-position model. The record is from RNAcentral.
CGGAGGGGGCUAGCGUUGUUCGGAAUUACUGGGCGUAAAGCGCACGUAGGCGGCUUUGUAAGUUAGAGGUGAAAGCCCGGGGCUCAACUCCGGAAUUGCCUUUAAGACUGCAUCGCUAGAAUUGUGGAGAGGUAAGUGGAAUUCCGAGUGUAGAGGUGAAAUUCGUAGAUAUUCGGAAGAACACCAGUGGCGAAGGCGACUUACUGGACACAUAUUGACGCUGAGGUGCGAAAGCGUAGGGAGCAAACAGGAUUAGAUACCCUGGUAGUCCACGCCGUAAACGAUGAUGACUAGCUGUCCGGGCACUUAGUGCUUGGGUGGCGCAGCUAACGCGUUAAGUCAUCCGCCUGGGGAGUACGGCCGCAAGGUUA